Molecule: ribosomal RNA, 679 nt
Filed under: Serratia sp. (in: enterobacteria)
Lineage: Bacteria; Pseudomonadati; Pseudomonadota; Gammaproteobacteria; Enterobacterales; Yersiniaceae
Description: bacterial SSU rRNA
Rfam family: Bacterial small subunit ribosomal RNA
Source: RNAcentral
GGCGGUUUGUUAAGGUCAGAUGUGAAAUCCCCGGGCUCAACCUGGGAACUGCAUUUGAAACUGGCAAGCUAGAGUCUCGUAGAGGGGGGUAGAAUUCCAGGUGUAGCGGUGAAAUGCGUAGAGAUCUGGAGGAAUACCGGUGGCGAAGGCGGCCCCCUGGACGAAGACUGACGCUCAGGUGCGAAAGCGUGGGGAGCAAACAGGAUUAGAUACCCUGGUAGUCCACGCUGUAAACGAUGUCGAUUUGGAGGUUGUGCCCUUGAGGCGUGGCUUCCGGAGCUAACGCGUUAAAUCGACCGCCUGGGGAGUACGGCCGCAAGGUUAAAACUCAAAUGAAUUAACGGGGGCCCGCACAAGCGGUGGUGCAUGUGGAUUAAUUCGAUGCACGCGAUGUUCCUUACCUACUCUUGACAUCCAGAGAACUUUCCAGAGAUGGUUUGGUGCAUUCGGGAACUCUGUGACAGGUGCUGCAUGACUGUCGUCAGCUCGUGUUGUGAAAUGUUGGGUUAAGUCCCGCAACGUGCGCAACCCUUUCCUUUGUUGACAAGGGUUCGGAGGGAUCUCAAGGGUAUGGAGUGAUAACUGGAGGAGGUGGGGUUGACGUCAGUCUUCUUGGCCCCUUACGAGUGGGGCUACACACGUGCUACAAUGACAUAUACAAGGAGGAAGCGACCCUCGC